RNA transcript from Choloepus didactylus (southern two-toed sloth), 2899 nucleotides. It is a transcript of the gene named DnaJ heat shock protein family (Hsp40) member B2, with no coding region annotated. The record is from RefSeq and is a predicted model, not a curated record. Lineage: Eukaryota; Metazoa; Chordata; Mammalia; Pilosa; Megalonychidae. The transcript has 10 exons.
GCCUCCCGCCCGGGGUGACAGGCCGAGCCGGCCUUCUGUCGGUCUCUAGUAGUUUCCGUGGCGCUGACGCAUGCUUGCUCGCCCAGCUGGGCCGGGCGCGUUCUACGCAGCUGCUGCGAGCCGGGCUGCGGGUGCCAGACGGUUCCCGGCGGGCACAGGGGCGGGGCGCUGCAGGAGGCCAGGGACUGCGGGCGGAGGAGCUCCGAGGAAGCCCGCCUGACGACUGACGAGUUGCCAUGGCAUCCUACUACGAGAUCCUGGAUGUGCCGCGAAGUGCGUCUCCUGAUGACAUCAAGAAGGCGUAUCGGCGGAAGGCUCUCCAGUGGCACCCAGACAAGAACCCGGAUAAUAAAGAGUUUGCCGAGAGGAAGUUUAAGGAGGUGGCCGAGGCAUAUGAAGUACUGUCUGACAAGCAUAAGCGGGAGAUCUAUGACCGCUAUGGCCGGGAAGGGCUGACUGGGGCAGGAACUGGCCCCUCUCGGGCGGAAGCUGGCAGUGGUGGGCCUGGCUUCACCUUCACCUUCCGCAGCCCUGAGGAGGUCUUCCGGGAGUUCUUCGGGAGUGGAGACCCUUUUGCGGAGCUCUUUGAUGACCUGGGUGCCUUCUCAGAGAUUCAGAGCCGGGGUUCUCGACAGUCAGGCCCCUUCUUUUCCUUCUCUUCCUCCUUCCCUGGACACUCUGAUUUCUCCUCCUCAUCUUUCUCCUUCAGUCCUGGGGCUGGUGCUUUUCGCUCCGUUUCAACAUCCACCACCUUUGUCCAAGGACACCGCAUCACAACCCGCAGAAUCAUGGAGAAUGGGCAGGAACGGGUGGAAGUGGAGGAGGACGGGCAGCUGAAGUCAAUCACAAUCAAUGGUGUCCCAGAUGACCUGGCGCUGGGCUUGGAGCUGAGCCGCCGUGAGCAGUUGGUCACCUCCAGGCCUGGGGGCACACAGGUCCGGCAGGCCCCUGUCACACACCCCUCGGACAGCGACCUCUCUGAGGAUGAUGAGGACCUGCAGCUUGCUAUGGCCUACAGCCUGUCAGAGAUGGAGGCAGCUGGGAAGAAACCGGCAGGUGGGCGGGGGGUGCAGCAACGACAGCGGGGGCAGCCCAAGGCCCAGGACAAAGAUCAGGGCAUGGGGGGGAUCCAUGAGUGUGCAAAGGGUGAGGCAGCCAGGCCCAGCCCCUCCCCAGAGGAGAAGUCCUCUCGCUGCCUCAUCCUCUGAACCCCAGGCCCGACCCAAUCUGCUUCAGUUGUGACUGGGGGUCUGUCAGGAAAGCAGAGAGGGGCAUGGCGUGAGGUUGCAGAAGCCCCUCUCCAAUUCCUUGCUCCCUUCACAAGUUACCCUUCUGGGCUCCACUCCCUCUAAGCGUGGACUUGGGAUUUGCUGUGCUCAGUCCAGGACUAAUAGAUCCUUGGGGGAAGCCCAGGGAGGGGGCCUCAGGGCAGGGAAAGGGCCCCAAGAAGCCAGCAUGCGCUUAUGGGAUGGGGGGUUUCAGAAGGGUGUUAGGGGUUUGGGUUGGGGCUUUUGUGCCCAGGUCCCAUGCUACCUAUGUUGCUGACAGAUGUCAAGGAAGGAGGAUUUGGCCUCGGGUUCUCUGAGCCCGAGUUGGCAGCCAUGCUGAGGAGCAGUGCAGGCUGAGUGGAGUCUCCCGCUCUCCUUGUCCAGCUGCACUCCCCCCUGCCCUGGUUUCUGUGCAGCAUUGAUCUCUGACUGUCUCUGUGCUUCCCUGCUGCGGCUGCGGCUCCUCCUUCCUCUCACUCUUCUUUCUCCAACUCCCUGCGGGCCGUGUCACUUGCUUUCACUGCCAUCUGCCUAGGACUCCCUUCUCCUCCUUUUCCUCUGCUGCCAAGGCCUCAGUGUGGCGAGGAAGAUGCAGGGCCGGUAGGGCCUUGAGGUCUUCAGGGGAGGCUAGCUGGGUGGGGCGGGAGCCUCUCAGCCCUCCAGAUUCGGAACCGGAGUCCACUCCUCCUCCCUUCCUCUUGCUGCCUCAACUUGCCCCCGGCCUCAGGACUAGGCAGAGAUGUGUUCUGAGUUGGAAGUCCGGGACCCAGAGUCGCUGCACAGUUCCAGCGGGACAGCGCCCACCCCGUGCUCUGGGAGGGGACCCUCUUCCUCUCCCUCACCUGUACCAAGUGUAGAGCUGGGGUCUGGGUGGUGGGUGGGGGCCAGGUGGGAGGCAGUGGUUAGUAGUCUUAGCCUGCAAACUCUUCCCUGGGUGUUUGGUAGUCUCCUGAGGACUACAAGUUCCAGAAUGCAACACACCCUGCUUCACUUCUGAUAGCGCAUGCUUGGGGGAAGUGGUGUGUGGUUAUGGAGCUGUGCAUCUUGGGACUAGUAGUUCCAGCCCGGGUCAGCAGUCACUUGCUGUGAGAUGGAGAGAUUUUGUCAUUUGAUUUGUCCCUGGCGAGGGUGGCAAGAAUGUGGAUGAAGGGGUAAUGGUCCAAGCCUCUGUUCCCUGACACCUCUUGCUAGCCUGGGGUUGGAGUGUACGAAUCAAAGCCCUGAGGCACCUGGGAGGGGCUGUGGGCCCAGCUAGGGUCUGAGUAGCUGGCCAGGGCAAGAAGGCCCUUCUGCUAUGCAGGGCGUGGCCCUCAAAGGCUGGCAGAGCAUAGGGAAGGGAAGGCCACCCUCAUGGGGGUGUGUUUGUGACAGGAGCUCCGAGCAUGUUGCUGCUUGUAUGGCUUACUUUGGCCUCUGACCCUUCUCCCAUUCUUUCUCUCCAACAUCACAACAUCGCAGACAAGAGCCGCCUCUCCUCCUCCCUGCCUGGGGAGCCUAGUGGCCAGGGAGGGGAGUGGUGGAGCGGGGGUGCCAGGCCCUGUAACAGCCUCAGAGACCAAUCAAAGCCAGCUGGGCUAAGCUCAGACCAAGAGGGAGACACUGGAAAUCAAUAAAGCUGAGUUCUGAGAGCA